Karstenula rhodostoma CBS 690.94 is the source of this 101-nucleotide non-coding RNA. Lineage: Eukaryota; Fungi; Ascomycota; Dothideomycetes; Pleosporales; Didymosphaeriaceae. The record is from the annotation of a GenBank genome assembly.
GGGCUUGUGGUUUAGUGGUAUAAUUUUCCCUUAGCAUUUGCGUGCUUUACAGCACUGCGGAAGCGUGGGAAAGGUCCUGGGUUCGAUUCCCAGCAAGUCCA